RNAcentral lists this ribosomal RNA (503 nucleotides) under uncultured bacterium. RNAcentral describes it as "partial 16S ribosomal RNA". It matches the Rfam family "Bacterial small subunit ribosomal RNA", at positions 30 to 523 of the family's 1533-position model. The record is from RNAcentral.
AUUGAACGCUGGCGGCAGGCUUAACACAUGCAAGUCGAGCGGAGUGAUGGUGCUUGCACUAUCACUUAGCGGCGGACGGGUGAGUAAUGCUUAGGAAUCUGCCUAUUAGUGGGGGACAACAUCUCGAAAGGGAUGCUAAUACCGCAUACGUCCUACGGGAGAAAGCAGGGGAUCACUUGUGACCUUGCGCUAAUAGAUGAGCCUAAGUCGGAUUAGCUAGUUGGUGGGGUAAAGGCCUACCAAGGCGACGAUCUGUAGCGGGUCGGAGAGGAUGAACAGCCACACUGGGACUGAGACACGGCGCAGAAUCCUACGGGAGGCAGCAGUGGUGAAUAUUGGACAAUGGGGGGAACCCUGAUCCAGCCAUGCCGCGUGUGUGAAGAAGGCCUUAUGGUUGUAAAGCACUUUAAGCGAGGAGGAGGCUCUUUUGGUUAAUACCCAAGAUGAGUGGACGUUACUCGCAGAAUAAGCACCGGCUAACUCUGUGCCAGCCGCCGCAGUAA